This 257-nucleotide unclassified non-coding RNA is filed under the name Archaeorhizomyces sp. RNAcentral describes it as "partial contains 5.8S ribosomal RNA, internal transcribed spacer 2, and large subunit ribosomal RNA". RNAcentral also lists the same sequence under 1 other name. The record is from RNAcentral. Lineage: Eukaryota; Fungi; Ascomycota; Archaeorhizomycetes; Archaeorhizomycetales; Archaeorhizomycetaceae.
AACGCACAUUGCGCCCCCUGGUAUUCCGGCGGGCAUGUCUGUUUGAGCGUCAGUACGCACCUCUGUUUCAGCUUUGCUGAGCAGGUCGUGGGCGCACCUUUCGAAAGACGGGUGCCCCUAACGUAGCACGCUUGCGGGCUCCCACACAGAUGUCAACGUAGUAAACUAAACGCUCGAUGAAAUCUUGUGGAGGCUUUGCCUGAACAAACCUUUUUGAGUUUGACCUCAGAUCAGAUAAGGAUACCCGCUGAACUUAA